AAUAAAUCUGAACGGCUCUUCUUCGAAUGUCGACAUCUUCGGGAAGAAAAAGGAAUGGGCAGAAGCUGGUGUGGGUAAGAUGAAGGAAAACGGAAUUGUCGGAUUUAGUCG
This is a non-coding RNA of Caenorhabditis elegans, 111 nucleotides long. The record is from Ensembl. Lineage: Eukaryota; Metazoa; Nematoda; Chromadorea; Rhabditida; Rhabditidae.